GAAUCCCGUCUUUGACACGGACUGCCUGUACAUUAUGGUGUGCUCUCGAAGAGUCGAGUUGUUUGGGAAUGCAGCUCAAAAUGGGUGGUAAAUGCCAUCUAAAGCUAAAUAUUGGCGGGAGACCGAUAGCGAACAAGUACCGUGAGGGAAAGAUGAAAAGGACUUUGGAAAGAGAGUUAAACAGUACGUGAAAUUGCUGAAAGGGAAACGCUUGAAGUCAGUCGCGUUGGCUAGAAAUCAACCUUGCUUUUGCUUUGUGUACUUUCUGGUUGACGGGUCAGCAUCAAUUUUGACCACUGGAUAAAGUCUUUGGGAAUGUGGCAUCUUCGGAUGUGUUAUAGCCCAUUGUCGCAUACGGUGGUUGGGAUUGAGGAACUCAGCACGCCGCAAGGCCGGGUUUCGACCACGUUCGUGCUUAGGAUGCUGGCAUAAUGGCUUUAAUCGACCCGUCUUGAAACACGGACCAAGGAGUCUAACAUGCCUGCGAGUGUUUGGGUGGAAAAACCCAUGCGCGCAAUGAAAGUGAAAGUUGAGAUCCUCUUCAAAGGGGGAGCAUUGACGCCCGGACCAGACCUUUUGUGACGGAUCCGCGGUAGAGCAUGCAUGUUGGGACCCGAAAGAUGGUGAACUAUGCCUGAAUAGGGUGAAGCCAGAGGAAACUCUGGUGGAGGCUCGUAGCGAUUCUGACGUGCAAAUCGAUCGUCAAAUUUGGGUAUAGGGGCGAAAGACUAAUCGAACCAUCUAGUAGCUGGUUCCUGCC
This 760-nucleotide ribosomal RNA is filed under the name uncultured Inocybe. RNAcentral describes it as "partial 28S ribosomal RNA". It matches the Rfam family "Eukaryotic large subunit ribosomal RNA", at positions 216 to 962 of the family's 3401-position model. Lineage: Eukaryota; Fungi; Basidiomycota; Agaricomycetes; Agaricales; Cortinariaceae. The record is from RNAcentral.